Polypterus senegalus (gray bichir) is the source of this 1136-nucleotide long non-coding RNA. RefSeq lists it as uncharacterized. The record is from RefSeq and is a predicted model, not a curated record. The transcript has 2 exons. Lineage: Eukaryota; Metazoa; Chordata; Cladistia; Polypteriformes; Polypteridae.
GACCAGGUGAAUCGCGCUCAACUUCCCAGUAGGAUUUUUUUUAAGGAUUUGGACGGGAGUUCCGCCUUCUGCGCUGUUGCAACAAUGUGGAAAUGUUUCUGGAAUUUAAAAAAAAAAAAAAGAAACGUUUUGCAACUUUUCUCCCGGGAUGACCAUUACAAAGGCUAGUACAGCCAAUCUGAGGUGGACAGAGCUGCGCCUCAGCCCUGCUUUCUUUUUGGGCGCCGUUGCCGAAGGACGCCUUUCUGCCACCACCAGCCGUCACUUUCCGGAUCGUACUGCUUGACAGACCCAGUAAAGAAGUUGCUGAACUUGUUAAGACGGCUUCCGUGAUGCCUCUCUGCCGGUCAUUGCGCCAAUAUUUCUAGCUGUUGGCAGGCAUACUACAAUCAAAGGGAAAUGCCAAUAGAUUAACUUUCUACAUGAUUUCUUCCCAGAUGACUCACUGGCUGUGUUAAAAGUUUCCUCCCGGACGGAGUUACUAACGUUGAGGCUGGGAAGCUGGGCGGCGAAUGAGUCAGCAGUGCUCUACAGCCGCACACACAGGGAGGACGCUGCAAUUACUCACCCUGGAUCAGAGAAUGGGCAGGCGCCCGCAUCGGCUUUCUAACUCACUUUCUUUUGGUUUUAGUGUCCAAGACUGAGGCUGCUGGAUUUGCUGACAGAAAUGAAAUGGGAGCUGGCUGUCAGUCAAGAAUUCAUAAAAAGUGUGUGUGUAUGUGUAUGUGUGUGCACACAUGUAUGUGUAUAUGAUCUUGGAUAUGCUGUGGUCCAAACAGGGGCCUCCAGGAGUAUACCUUCUGAUUUUAGAUAUUAAAUCGGGCCAUGUGGCUCAGGCCUGCCCAGUCUGCUCCUGACUUUGGAUCUGUGUUUCUCUGUUAUGGUAGCCAGGCCAACAUUGAUGGUCGAGAAAAAUGCUGUGUGCACAGGGGAUACCACGCUAGUGUGUCAAACAAAUUCAAAGCAAAGCCCAGUCUCCUGACAGUGUUGAGAAACCUUCAGAGUACACAUCUUACGAGCCUUACAGCUUCAGGCAGUUUGUACACCUGAGCUUCUGUCACAGUCUAGCAACAUGCUUCAGGUAAUACGUGAAUAUGGUUUUUUAAAAGUUGGGUAAAUAAAGUUUCAAAAAAUGA